RNAcentral lists this ribosomal RNA (618 nucleotides) under Cortinarius scandens. RNAcentral describes it as "eukaryotic LSU rRNA". It matches the Rfam family "Eukaryotic large subunit ribosomal RNA", at positions 1 to 616 of the family's 3401-position model. The record is from RNAcentral. Lineage: Eukaryota; Fungi; Basidiomycota; Agaricomycetes; Agaricales; Cortinariaceae.
GACCUCAAAUCAGGUAGGACUACCCGCUGAACUUAAGCAUAUCAAUAAGCGGAGGAAAAGAAACUAACAAGGAUUCCCCUAGUAACUGCGAGUGAAGCGGGAAAAGCUCAAAUUUAAAAUCUGGCAGUUUCUUUUAGCUGUCCGAGUUGUAAUCUAGAGAAGUGUUAUCCGCGCUGGACCGUGUACAAGUCUCCUGGAAUGGAGCAUCAUAGAGGGUGAGAAUCCCGUCUUUGACAUGGACUACCAGGGCUUUGUGAUGCGCUCUCAAAGAGUCGAGUUGUUUGGGAAUGCAGCUCAAAAUGGGUGGUAAAUUCCAUCUAAAGCUAAAUAUUGGCGAGAGACCGAUAGCGAACAAGUACCGUGAGGGAAAGAUGAAAAGAACUUUGGAAAGAGAGUUAAACAGUACGUGAAAUUGCUGAAAGGGAAACGCUUGAAGUCAGUCGCGUUGUCCAGGGAUCAACCUUGCUUUUGCUUGGUGCACUUUCUGGUUCAAUGGGUCAGCAUCAAUUUUGACCGUUGGAAAAAGGUCAGGGGAAUGUGGCAUCUUUGGAUGUGUUAUAGCCCUUGGUCACAUACAAUGGUUGGGAUUGAGGAACUCAGCACGCCGCAAGGCCGGGU